RNAcentral lists this long non-coding RNA (264 nucleotides) under Carica papaya (papaya). Its description in RNAcentral is "long non-coding RNA (CPAP_LNC010120)". Lineage: Eukaryota; Viridiplantae; Streptophyta; Magnoliopsida; Brassicales; Caricaceae. The record is from RNAcentral.
GAAAGAUGUAAAAGGAACGCUUCCAGUAGAUGACGGUGUACCCUCUAACGAGAAUGGUAUCACACUAUCUGUAAGAGUUACCCGUGGCUAAGUGAUAUCGCAAGUAUAGAUAUUUGUUAGGAUCACUAUGGUUGGUACAGUCGUGAUCAUAUAUCGUAUCAUAGUUUGGCCAGCCGGAAAUGGGUCUAAGCAAAUUGUCGUAUCUGUAUCUAAUAUGAUCAUCACACAUGGGUAGUUAGAAAUCUGUAUCUGCUCUCAGAGAUG